CCAAAGAAAGAAAAGAAAGAAAAGAGAAAGAAAGAAAGAAAAAGAAAGAAGAAAGAAAGAGAAAGAAAGAAAGAAAAGAAUGAAAGAAGGAAGGAAAAGAAAAAGAGAGAAAAAGCAAAAAGAACUGACAAAAAGAGAAAGAAAGAGUGAAACAGAGAGAGGACAGAGGAAAGACAAUUCCAGUAUACUUUCUAGUAGUUUUCAGCAAAGGACUCUAAUAAUUAGAGUACCAGAGGAGGCAUGCAAAGGAUAAUUACUUAAGAAAAGCAAAAUGGUGCAACAUUACUGUAAGCCAGAGGAAGAAGGCUAUGAAAUGCUGUGGGCACCUACACACAUUGGGACAACUAAGAAAGGUGAAGACGGCUAAUUAUGAACCACACAGACUGUGAAGACUACACAACCCAUCGAGUGACCAAGAUACGGACUGCAGUUUUCCACACUGACCUUAUAAGAAAAAAGUGUUAUAAAAAUCAGUCAGGGAUUCACCAUAUGUAGUGAUGCCCUCCAUCACCUCCCUCCAGUAACCUGUAUCCUGCGUCCCUGUGCUGCAGUUCUGGAAGCUUAUUCAUUAGUGCCAGGUCAUGGGUCCUCUUUAGUUUCUCAACUCAGGGUGCUGAGAAAAACAAACAUAAGGCAGAGUUCUGCCUAUGUAAUGUGGGACCUAGCACUGGCUAGGAGGGCAAACUUGUUCUUUUUGGACUGCAUAUCCUUCUGAGGGGAAUGACGAAAGAGUUUGUUGCAAAAGUUUGUGAAGAUUUGCUACAGAGCCAUUUGGGGUGCUAAGACUUAGGGAUUGUGAAUUGGAACAAAAAUCUCAGUAAAACAGUACAAAAAUUAAUAUAUUUUGUAAUUAUAACUGUAAGUAUAAAUUUGUAAAUAUAAAAGAAAAAACCUCACCUGGUCCAAAGGCAAUUUUACAGGAGUGAUUGCUCUGACACAAGUAGCAGGCAGCAAGGGAGGUGCCAGCCUGGGGAAAAUGUGCAUGGAGCCAUUAGCAGGGCAUGCACAGGAAGACAACACUAAAAAAUUCAAGUGAACUCUUCAGCAGAAUAGUAGGCAGCAAGUAUUGCAGCUGACGGCAAUAAAAGUGUUUACCAGACAGAUAAGCAGCAUGUGCUUCUUCAGGUUGGACAGUGACACACAGACCAAGGCAGUACAGGAAUCUAAAUUAUUCACAGUAACAGAAAAGCCAAAGGAAGAGGAUAAAAGUCUAUUACUGGGUAAAAGUAUGUCAAUUCUAUGGCUUCAUCAGGAAAACAUCGUCACUGAAGAAGCAAAGAACAAAAACAGUUUAAGAAAAAUCUCAGGAUAUUUUCCACAGCAUAGUGACAAAUCACGCCUUUUCCAGUUUGUUAGUUAUUACAUAUAUCUCCAGUAAGGGAAGGCUCGGUAUGUAUUUAUCGUUCUCCAUUUACCCUAAGAUGAAAGUCAAUGGAAACUUACGUCUGGCUUUUAGCACAGGGUAGCUGGUGGUGUAUAUUCCCAGCACCUAUUGCCAGUAUAAAUGAGAAAUUUUUCUGAGACUUUGUCUAAAGGUACUAGAAAGGAUGUUUUCUCCUGUGUUGAAUAAAAUUACUAAGAAGAACAUGGGAAGGCCAGUUAGGCAUGGAUGAAUCUGUGAGGACUGAAGAUGCCUGAAAAUGAAAAGUGACACUGGGGAAAAUGUAAGACUUGUCACAUGUGCCAAAAUCAAACUAAAUCAAGCAAAGGCCCAGAAAGCAAUGGUUCCUCAAAAGCUAAGCAGACAUUGCCUUAUGUAGGUUGGAAAAAGCUGUAUCUCCUAUGCUGUUUUUCUUUCUUCUGUGAGCUAGCCUGAAGAGAUGUUACAGAUGAGUGUAUGUGUCUAAAGCACUGAAUUAGUUCUGAUGCAACUGACGUAACUAUAGCUGACAGUGACAUUAUUUAAUGUAAAUAGUUUGCAGUUAAGUAUAGACUUAGGCAUAAUUUUGCCAAUGGAACAGUUCCCACCCUAAUACUUUGGUAGGAAACUGCCAGAUUAAUAAAGAGCUUAUUGAAAAGAGCCUGAUCCAUAUUUAGAACAACCAAGUUCCAGAGCAUGCACAGCGCUGUCACCUGAGGACAUUUUUUCCUACAGAAAACUGAAAUCAAGACUAGCUACAUUAUUAGACACUGGAGACUUACACAAGUGGAGAGUGAGAUAGCAAAGCAAACUCCUCAGUUAAAUGUAUGUUCUCAAAUCCAUCUCCUCCCAGAAUAAGGGUGAGAGCUGGUACAGAACUUCAUGGGGAUUCUGAGCUCCCUGGAAAAUGCAGAUGUGUGUUUUUACAGUAAUUGCUACACAAGUAACCCCUCCAUUUUCUUCCAUACAUCCUCUCCAUACCCUCUGCAGGCCAUCAGCAUUCACUGGUUGCUAUCCCUGACCUAAUGUAUUCUGUCAACUUACAUUACAGCACUGCUCUUUGGUAUGUGUGCAAGACAAUGAUUUUCUUUUGCAUUACGCAAAUAGGACCAGUGACAUUUAAUGCAAACCUGUGGCGUACGCUGCUUUGGGGCCCUUUCAGGUAUUGCAUUUAUGCAAAACCAUGUGUUUGGAAUAUGAAACUUGCUAUGUAUUCAGUGUUUAAUUUAAAUACAGCAGGUCUUGUUAGCUAUUCAAGUAUGAGUUGGGAGAGGUUUUUUGUUAUAUAAAUAAACAGCUAAUCAGAAGGUUGAGCAAACGGUAUGAUUUUUAUUUACAUCACAAGUGGUUUUAAUUCUUAGAAAUAUCCAACUGUAACCGUAUUUUUGUUGGGCAAAAUAUACAAAUACCUAAACAGACAAAAUAAUCUUGGUAUCAAAGGCCAUAGGCUAUUACAGCCUGUACCAGAGAACACUGGAAUUUUCAGCUGAAUGUGAGAAGUUGUGAAAAAGCACAGAAAAGAAUCAUUUGCUUGUCACUUUUUCACAGGUGCACUUCGAGGCAACAGAUGAGAGGCCCCAGCAGUGGCUGAGACCUUGUGCAGUGCUCGGAGGCUCCGGAACAGGUCUGUCGCUCCUCUUCGGAGGAUCGGGCACCUGCCUCUCACAGGCGGUGACAGCGAGCGACGCCAAGGGCAGUGCGCUGGGGGCAGGCCACCUAACAGCACCCGGUAAAAUCCAGCCUGUAAGAAUGCAGCUGCCGAACCUCCCUUAUCCUCGGAGCCACCUACCUGAAUCUUCAAUGAGCUAAAACCACGUGGGCAAAUGGGAGAUGAGGAACUCACGGAGACUUUCACAAGUGGCAGGUGACAAGGGGUCUUGGACGUCUUACCAGUCCACUGCAGGUUUACUCUGGUUUGGAGACUGAAGAUACAAUGCAUGGUUGCAUGGAAUGCAGGUUCUGUCAGAACUAAGCAACUGAAGCAAAGAAGAACCAACAGAGAGUCACAGCCUCAGAGCUGCUGGCAGAAGGCGACCACUGGGGUUUCUAGUCCAGCUCCCAGCUCAGAUCAGGACUAUUACGAUCUCUAAAUCAGGCCAGCCAUGGCUUUGUAUAGUCAAGUCUCAAGACCUCCAAGGAUGAAGAUUUGACAACCUCCCUGGAUGACCUGCUCCGGUGCCACACCACCUCCAGGGGCAACCUAGCGGUGCUGGUACUCAGCAAUAUGCUCAGCUAGAGCCAAAGGCUCAAGGAGGUCACUGCCAGGUGGCUUAGUGGAGCUCUUUCAGAUGUUUUGAAUGAGAUGUAUUGCUUUCCAUAGUUUCUUGUCUAAAGGGAACCCUGACAGAAAAACUGGUGUCUCAGCCACCAUGCACAAGGAACCACGCAGAAGGAAGUCACUGAUGUGCUCAGAUGCUGUACUUCAGGAAACACUCUGGCCUAGUUGUGGCAAUGAUCUCACCUGGGAGGGCCUUUUCAUACAAAUCCUCUUGGUCUCACCAUUCAGGAUGAGCAAAGGCCUUUUGUCUGCUUGGAAAAAUGCACUAGAAGCAGCAGUCACACAGGUAGGUGGAGGACAUUGCACUUAAGAACCUUAAAAUGUUACUGAGCUCUUGUUUAGUCUGUGGAGAUCUCAAAAUGGAAGAAUCCAAA
This is a long non-coding RNA of Falco peregrinus (peregrine falcon), 4012 nucleotides long. RefSeq lists it as uncharacterized. Lineage: Eukaryota; Metazoa; Chordata; Aves; Falconiformes; Falconidae. The record is from RefSeq and is a predicted model, not a curated record. The transcript is spliced from 7 exons.